CCGCGGGACUGAGGUGGCCUCCACGGGCUGCUACCAACUAUUCCUGCCCCUCCGUAGUCCCCACCCCUUGCGGCUCCAUUGUCAGCCAGGCAGACCUAGGACAGACUCGCUAGUUGACAGCUUCACAUCCGAGGGUGUAGCAAGCCCAGGCAGUGGGGACCCGGCGCCCCUCGGAUCACCAGGCGGGAUGUGCGGAUAGCGUCCCUAAGUGCGCCCUGGCUCCUGGCCAGUGGCCAAGCAACGGUGGCUGAGGGGAUGCGCCCUGGACGCACAAGGUGCCUGCAGCGAGCUACCGUCCCUAGGUGGACGCCCAACAGAGCUCAUCGCAGGACUGCGUGGACCCUUGGUCCCCGGGUCACGCGGCUGCGGAACCUUGGGGCAGCGCCUGCGGUCAGGAUGCUUGGGGCGCCUCCCUACUGGUGAGAUGCCCUACUGCACAGCUGGGCACGACUGAGUGGGCCCUGCUUCGGCCCCUAGUGCCUGUGGAUGAAAAGCGCCGGAGUCCUGGUGUGGGAUCAGCGAUCGCAUCUGCAUUCUAAGAGCCAUGGAGGAAGGCACUGGGCUUCAGCCCCCGGCAGGAGAGCAGCUGGAGACACCUGCCACAGCAGGAGCUGUGCAAGAGAAGACCGAGUCAGAGACCUUAAGGUCUAAGAGUUUACCGGUCCUGAACAGCGCCUCCUGUCGGCAGAAACUCAGUCCUGCGAGUGUAGAUGUCCAGCAGGCCUUUGGCUGUAUGGACUCUUUGGGCCGUCAGGAGUUGAAGCAAGGCAGGAACCCAUUGACCUCCAGCCCCUCUGCCCCUACCACUUCGGCUGGGAUGGCAGGGAUCAUGGACUGGACCCACAGGAUGGACGUCAGGAAAACGGUGUCCAUGUCCCCCACACUGGCCACGCUCCAGCAGAGAAGGUGCCUCUAUGUGGUCCUCGCAGACUCCCGCUGCUUCCUGGUUUGCAUGUGCUUCCUGACCUUCAUCCAGGCUUUAAUGGUCUCCGGGUACCUGAGCAGUGUCAUCACCACCAUUGAAAGGCGCUACAGUCUGAAGAGCUCCGAGUCAGGGCUGCUGGUCAGCUGCUUUGACAUCGGGAACCUGGUGGUGGUGGUGUUUGUCAGCUAUUUUGGUGGUAGGGGUCGUCGGCCCCUGUGGCUGGCGGUGGGUGGACUCUUCAUCGCCAUCGGGGCUGCGCUGUUCGCCUUGCCUCACUUCAUCUCACCUCCCUAUCAGAUUCAGGAGUUGAACGCCUCAGCCUCCAACGAUGGCCUGUGUCAGAAUGGCAACUCCACCGCCACGUUGGAGUCUCCCCCAUGUCCAAAAGCCUCAGGAGGAAAUAACCACUGGGUCUAUGUGGCUUUGUUCGUUUGCGCACAGAUUCUCAUUGGAAUGGGCUCCACGCCUAUUUACACCCUGGGACCAACCUACUUAGAUGACAAUGUCAAGAAAGAAAAUGCCUCCUUGUACCUAGGUAAGACUUUCCUGUUCUCUCAGAUGAAUCUGACUCAUUACUUUCUUUCCAAAACCCAAAGGAACCAUGGUCUUUCACAUUUUCAAAUGUAUUAAGCAUUAAGGUUCCUUUUACGUUUUAGCUU
Castor canadensis (American beaver) is the source of this 1584-nucleotide non-coding RNA. The record is from RefSeq and is a predicted model, not a curated record. NCBI's taxonomy places the organism in Eukaryota, Metazoa, Chordata, Mammalia, Rodentia, Castoridae.